GAUCCAGAGUGGUGCUCCACUGAUGAGCACGUGCUGAUUGAGGCCUACAGGAAGUGUCUGAGCGCGCUCAGUCACUGUCACAGCGGCCUUCCAGACGGCGAGCAGCCACUCAGCUUGAGUCUGGCCGGCCACUGCGUGGAGACGUUCAGGUACCAGGUGUCCCAGGACAAAGUGUCCAUCCACCUGCCGGUCUGCAGACUGCUGGCAGGUCUCCACGUUCUCCUCAGCAGGACCGAAGUCACCUCUCGCUUCCCUGAACAGCUUCCUCUGGGGGAACUCAGCCCCCCCUCCUGAUCGAACUCCCCCUCCGCUGCCUGGUGCUCUGUGCCCAGGUGCAUGCUGGGAUGUGGAGGAGGAACGGCUUCUCCCUCAUUAACCAGAUUUAUUAUUAUCACAACGUGAAGUGCAGAGUGGAGAUGUUCGACAAAGACAUCGUCAUGCUGCAGGCUGGUGCGUCCAUGAUGGAUCCGAAUCACUUCCUGAUGAUCGUCCUGAGUCGAUUUGAACUGUUUCACAUAUUCAGCUCUGCAGACUGCAGGAAGAGAUACAGAGAGGCUAACAAGGUCAGUACUGACUCUGACUCUACACUGACU
Molecule: long non-coding RNA, 593 nt
Organism: Micropterus salmoides (largemouth bass)
Lineage: Eukaryota; Metazoa; Chordata; Actinopteri; Centrarchiformes; Centrarchidae
Exons: 6
Source: RefSeq, a predicted model, not a curated record